This 147-nucleotide small nucleolar RNA is filed under the name Aspergillus ruber CBS 135680. RNAcentral describes it as "A. fumigatus snoRNA Afu_198". It matches the Rfam family "A. fumigatus snoRNA Afu_198". Lineage: Eukaryota; Fungi; Ascomycota; Eurotiomycetes; Eurotiales; Aspergillaceae. The record is from Rfam by way of RNAcentral.
UCCAAAACUCUUAAAUGAUGAGAACUUUUUCCGAACCGGUAUUUAGGAAGAGCCGGAAGAGGUAUGGCAAAGGCGAAAUCGGAGAACGACUUUUCCUUUCUCUUUGUUGUCGGUGCUUAUAAUGGUUCUGCUGAGAGGAGUUUUGCG